This is a non-coding RNA of Schistosoma haematobium, 45 nucleotides long. The record is from Rfam. NCBI's taxonomy places the organism in Eukaryota, Metazoa, Platyhelminthes, Trematoda, Strigeidida, Schistosomatidae.
AUCCGGCCAACGAGCCCCAAAUAGGACGAAACGCACGUCCUGGAU